RNAcentral lists this transfer RNA (72 nucleotides) under Camelus bactrianus (Bactrian camel). It matches the Rfam family "tRNA". Rfam says of the family: Transfer RNA (tRNA) molecules are approximately 80 nucleotides in length. Their secondary structure includes four short double-helical elements and three loops (D, anti-codon, and T loops). Lineage: Eukaryota; Metazoa; Chordata; Mammalia; Artiodactyla; Camelidae. The record is from Rfam by way of RNAcentral. RNAcentral also lists the same sequence under 2 other names.
GAGGGUAUAGCUCAGUGGCAGAGUGUGUGCUUAGCAUGCAUAAAGUCCUAGGUUCAAUCCCCAGUACUUCCA